RNAcentral lists this transfer RNA (73 nucleotides) under Ictidomys tridecemlineatus (thirteen-lined ground squirrel). Its description in RNAcentral is "Spermophilus tridecemlineatus (thirteen-lined ground squirrel) tRNA". It matches the Rfam family "tRNA". From Rfam's summary of the family: Transfer RNA (tRNA) molecules are approximately 80 nucleotides in length. The record is from Rfam by way of RNAcentral. Lineage: Eukaryota; Metazoa; Chordata; Mammalia; Rodentia; Sciuridae.
GGAGAUAUAGCUCAGUUGGCAGAGUGCUUGACUUACAAUCACAAGGCUCUGGGUUCAAUCCCCAGCACCACUC